This 974-nucleotide long non-coding RNA is filed under the name Struthio camelus australis. RNAcentral's name for it is "lncRNA (ENSSCUG00000000734.1)". The record is from RNAcentral. Lineage: Eukaryota; Metazoa; Chordata; Aves; Struthioniformes; Struthionidae.
UUCNNNNNNNNNNNNNNNNNNNNNNNNNNNUAAAUUCCUCUUCUUUUCUUUUUUCCUAAGGUUCAUCUUUUCCUGUCGUCAUGUCAAUUUGCAUGACUUGAACCUGAAGAGCUGGAAGAUGUUCCUGUCUCCCAGGACAGCUGUGUAGCCUCUAUUUCGGGCACUCUUUUGGACCCUUUCAGAAGAAGGUGAGCUGACAACGCAGACUAAAACAGUGAGGAUCAAGGCAUGAAAGUUCAAGGACAGUGAAGGAGAACAAACGUUCAGUGGAGAAGCAGAGCUGCUAUAGUGCCUACACCUGCGUGUUCUCCUCCACGUCUGUGUACUGUUAGCAGGGUCCGGGAGAUGUGUGGUGUCUCGCGCCAAGAAAAGAGUCAGCCUUUUUUCUGAGAGAGAGAACAACCUGCGUUGCAUUUUGAGAAGGCUCUCAGGCACUAUAAUGCAAAGACAGAUUGCCGCAUGGUGUGUACUGAGACGAGUAUUUCAUACUCAGUCCUACUGCGGAGAAACAGCCAUUUCCUAACAAUUUGUGCAAGUCUCGACUUACCUGAGACAGGAUGAGCUGAUUAUUCCGACUGAGCUUCUUCAAAUGCCUUCCUGCAUUGGUCAGACGCUGCAUGCUUCAGUCAGUCGUGAUUUAGCCAAUUCUUGACCUCCAACUUGUAAUCCAUCAAUAAGUAAUGUCCAGCUGCGCUCUUCGGAAUACUAGAAGGAACACAUUGGAGCCCAUUCCUUGUAAGCAACAAUCGAAAGGACCAUUAGCACCUCAGCUCUGGACUAAUGAGGAACACAACUUCUGUGCUGGGGAUAUCGACUUAGGCCUGAGAUCCCGCGGUGUUUCUCCCGUUGGAGUCUGUCUCCCCCCUUCCCCCCCAGUUGUAGUGGUUGUCUACUCGCACUUUGCCCACGUGAAGGUAAGGCAGACUCCGGAAAAUAAAUGAAACACUGCCACAAUGAUGUUCUGGUUAAUCUUG